UGUCUUUAAUCGCAGUUUUACUUUUCAUGUACAUUUUGUUACAGAUUAAGGUAUUGGUUUUUGCUGUUGUUUAAUCGAUGUGAGUCUUUUUUUAAAAAAAAAUUCGUUAACAGGACCUUAAAAUUUCUCUUCUAUCUUUUCGUGAUUGUUUCAUUGCCCGAGUUGAGUUGUGUUGAGUGGUUAAGCAGUUCUGGUGCUGGCAGUAUUGUUUAGACAAACCUUAGCAAAUCCCAAGAACUCUGAAUAGAGUCGAUUUUAUGAUGACGGAUGACCUUUUGAUGAAGUCAUUCUGGGAGCCCAUCAAUGCAGUUUUCCUACCUUGCAGAUACCACCGUGCCCAACAUCUCUCUGUUCCCUGAGCUCUCAGCACAUCUGUCUUUCCAACAGGGUCAUUUGCUGUCUUGGUUGGUUUUACAGGACUCUUUUUCUGCUUGGCUUUGUCUACGGGAGGAUGGUUAGGGUUUGGCAUAUAGCAGACAAUGCAUUAGAAUGGGUGAAUUAAUGAAUGAAAUGAUUUCCUGAACACUAGAGCAUCUUUGAAGGUUUUUGACCAAGAGUAACAUCGUGAAAAUGUAUCUUCAAAAUUUUUACUUUCUGAUACUUUUUCAAAUGCCAUUGAUAUUGGGAUUUUAUUACUUGGUACAUUUUACUUGCAUACACGAGAAAGUGGGAAUUAUAAAAAGGGUAAUUUAACUCCAACUCUGGCUUUAGUUAGUUUUAUUUGUUUUAGUAUUUUAAAACUCUCAGUGUGAAAUUUUGUAAAGUGUGGUUAAAUGUGUAACUUUGCAUCAGCAUCACUUUAGUAAAUCUGUGGUUUUAUAUACUGGUUAUUAUUAUUUUUUUUUUAAAGUGGCUUUAUUUCACUGUUUAAGAAGUAAACUAGUUUUUACUUUCCUGAAGUCUAUUUGGCAAUGUUUGUGGAACAUUUCGUAUGUACCCUACUUCCACUGUUAGUAUGAAUAGAAAAGAAUGUUAGGAAGGACUGCUCUUAUAAUAACUUACUUUGGGUCUAGUAUACUGAGUUAUCAAAUUAUGAUUUAUUUUCUAAGCUCUUCUGAAUCCUGUGUCUACCAGUGGAUAUGCUCAAACCAGUAGAGAAUUUCUGCAGCGUGUUGUGAGUUGAAAUUCUUCCCAGAGUGACUUGCAUUGGAAUGUUUGGUUGAUUGCGGCAAGUCUGACUGGCUUUUCACCAUAAAUGGUGCAGUCGUGAGUUUUGAGAAAAUGGGCAAUGGAAAUUACAGCUAAUGCAUGGACUGCACCAACAGGGGUAAUUGCUUCCUUCCUUCCCCCUGUAAAUUUAGUACUUCUGAUAUUGCUAAAGUUGCUCCAAAUGCUUAACUCUCCUAAUGGUAGCCUAUCAAGUCAGUAAAAGCAGGGGAGGUGUAUAAUGGUGAUAAAAGGGUUUGAAAUGAGAACGUAUAACACAUGUGUCCCCAUUGGCCUAUUAUCUCUUACAGUGCUUUCCUGCGAAACCAUGGCAAUCUACAUGAAAAUUGUUCCCCAGAAUUGUCUGAAAUUCCCAAGUCGAACCCUUCCAUUUGAAAAUAAAAUUUUAGAUCACUUCCCCCUUUGAAGGAACAAUAGUCAAUUGUCAUCACCUCGUCAUCUAAUAUCUGAGCACACUCUACACAAUAUGCACUUAGCCCUGGGAGUUUUCUCUGAAAACACAAAGUCCUAAAUGGCUCCAGGCUUUACUCAUCCCUCUGUGUUCCUAAUUUGAAACACCACCUCAGAUAGCCCCUUCUCUGAUCAGAGGCAAUCAUCAUUCAGCUCUUCCUUACUUUUCCCCUCCAAUAGCCCUUUUCUUGCCUUCCAUCCUUUCUUACCUCUGAUACCCGUGUCUCUUUAUCUCCACACCACGGUCUACAAUUUCACUAACACUUCACCUUAUGUCAUAACUCCCUUUAAGCCUCAAGUACAACCUGACAUCAGCUUGUGCAACAGCUGAAUGUUGUUUCUCUGAUCAACAUGUUUUUUAAAAAACUUCCAGUAACGAUUUCAAACCUUCUCUUAUUUCCCAUGUCUUUUUUUUUUUUUUUUUUUUUUUUUUUUUUUUUUUUUCCUACAGAGGUCCCUGUCUCUUCCAUCCUAUCCUAAAUAAAGUGAAAGUCAUCAUAGAGACACUCAUUUUUCCUCAGGUAAAAUCAGCAAGCUACCUGUGUCUGCAGCCAUCCUUUCAGCUUUUCCCGCAGUUCCAUUAAGAGGGGUCCUGGCCAUAUUAUACCCAUCCCUUUCUUGGGGCUUUGUUUCCCGUAUCCCCAGCUCUCUCAGAACAUGUCCAUUUCAGUUUCUUUCUUCUCUUUUCCGUACCAAUUAUUUCAUCUCAAAGGGAUCACGGUAAUCAAGACUCAUACUCAAUCCUCCAUGAUAGAAUGCAUGACUGCUGUCAUCCCCUGCCUUUGAUCCUCUGAGCUCAGUGCAUAGCGUAACUCCAUGCCAGUUGCACAUAGAAACAUGAGUCAUUCAUAUGUUCUCUUCUCUCACUCCCUGAAUUCAGUCUGUUCCCACGUCUUGUUGAUAUUGCUUCCUAAAUGUCUUCAGACUGUCUUUCCACAUCACCUCGCAACACCCUCAUCUAGGCUGGCAUCACCUGCCACUAGAGAGAUUACAGAAGCCUCCUGAUUCGUCAGGACGAUUCUUCAAUAUGAAGCUGUGUUUAGCUUUUCAGAUUGUAAAUAUGACCUGUCACUCCUCUGCUGAAAACUCUUUAGUUACUUCAAAUCACAAACAAGAUAAAAAACCACCUCCUUUCUGCAGCCUGGUUAGAUGGACUGACCCCUGCCUGCUUUUGCAGCCCUAUCUUGCUCUCCCAGCUCCCUGUUUUCCAGCCACACCAGCCUUCUUUCUCUGUCCCAACAAAGAUAACCUGCUUCUUCCUCUUUGAUGGUGACAUCAAGUGUCUGGACUCUGGCGUUUUUGGAGAUCUGAACUCAGUGGCAUUCAAGGAUUGCAUUCAGAAUAAACCUCCAGCAGAAAGAGAGUUCUCUAGAAUUAUUGAAAUGAUUGAGAAGGGUAAAUGGACUCUAAGAGAGAGAUUAGUACACAUGAUUGUGAAGGAGGUGACAGAUACGUGGGGUGUUGGUAGCUCUCCUGGAACAGCCAGUUUCAGGUGGGGUUUGUGGUACAUGUUGUGCUGCCGGAGUUCUGGUAACCUCAGGCUGGUUUCUAGGAACCUCUGGGAUGCUGCCAAGAAGACCAGAAUUGCCCAUUUCUUAUGAUCAGUCCAGCCAAACUUUGGUGUGAUUGAGACAGAUGACCUCUGUGCUGAGUCACAGGUAGAGUCCUAUUGAUUAUUAAAGAAAAAUACGACUUUUUAUUUCUCAGCCUCGGGAAAUGAAUUAUAGCUAUUAGAAAUACUUUACAUCUCUAGCGUUUUAAGGUUUAUGAAACUAUUUUCAUCUGCUGCUUUGGUGGAUAUCUCAGCUGUAAAGGUGGGCACAACAGCCAUUCUUCAAAUUCCUCAUGUAUCGAUGAGGCAGCUCAAAGAAAAACUGUCACUUCAGCAUGACCCAUGAGUUUCAAAGCCAGAAUGAACAGCCGCAUCUCAUUCCUGUGCUGCUCCUCGUGGGGUCAGUAUAAAAGUCAACACUAUUCUGCUCACAGUGUGUACUAUUAACAUAUUAGUGAAGUGUGAUGACUUGGGAAAAUAACUGGCAGAUGACAUAGAGGAGUCAAUUUUCAGCUGUUUUUCACAAUACAGCCCUCUAUUCAGCAGUUAAAUUGACCUAUUUUUAGUUGUGUUUGGGAUGGAGCCCAGAGCAGCGCCGAACGGCAUCUACAUCCUUCUGCUUGGUGUUACUUGCCCUUAGUCAUUUGAAUGUUUGUGAUGUUACCUGACUCAGAAAAUACACAUUCUCAUGUUCUUCUACAGUGUUGGCUCGGCUGACCUUGAGUCCUACAGACUGUCAGGGUUUUCUAAAUUUUCUUUGAGAAUUAAAAAAAAAAACAACUAAAAUGUGUGGUUCUAUGUAUGUGUGUGUCUCCUGUAUUUCCCUUGUAAUGAAAAAUUUCUGAGUCAUGGGAAAGCUUCGUUUUUCCAUCCUCACCUCUCAGAAUGUAGGCACCAGUCAGGAAUAGACGUGAGUUACCACCCCGUCAGGCUCACUUUGUGACAGCAGGGAAGUCCAGGCCGGGGGUGUGAGUGGGGAUGAGUUAAUCAUUCAGUUUCUCUUCAGGAGCCAGGCUGGAAUCUGCUUCCAGAGAAGACAACCGGAUAUGCCUGCUGGCCACAUGAUCCCAGAGAGACUGACCUCAGGUCCGAUUUGACUCUGACUGUGCAUAUUUGUAGAGAAGAAGUGUAUCCUUGGAUGAGGUGAAAUUCCCUUUCAGUACAGACACUGUAGCCUGUCUGGUCCCAGCAGUCAGGCUUUUGCAUCCCUUGGGAAGAAGGAAAUAGGAGAAGGUCAUGGUGAUCCAGGAAGGUUCAAGGUCCUUCCUUGAAGCUAGGGGCUAGCAUAGCCCAAGUGUACAUCCAUGCAUAGCUUGGAAGAUUCCUGACCCAUCCUUGACAGUAUCAUGUACCUCUUUUCUGUUUGGAAUCCCGGCAGGAAACCGUGCAUGGUCUCCAACUUGCCUUAUUUUAACAGCCAGUGUUUAACAGUCUAGGAUUGAGUUAUUCAGUAUAAUUCCCCCCCUCCAUGUAUAGCAAAUAGUAUGUACAGAAUCUUAAUUACUUUAGAAAUAAUCUUAAUUACUGACAUAAGACAGGUUAUUAGUAAUUUUGGUGUGCUUUAAAUUCAAAUUCAUAUGAAGAGUCUGUUUCUCCUUAUACAAACUCAACUCUUGAGCUCUGAGGCUGCUUGCAGUGUCAACAUUUCUUUCUUUCCUUAUUUUUUUAACUUUUAGAGCUGUGAUUGGAAACACAAAAUAUCCUUAUCUUAACCUUUCUUUCCUCCCCCAGUAUGUUUUCUGUCAAACACAGAUGUCUUUUUUUUUUUUUGAAAUAUGUUGUCAGCUACCAAAAAAAUAGUGGUUGAAAAAAUUUACAGCCUUCCAUUCCUACCAAUUCAAAAUUGUGAUUUUUUUUAAUUGAAAAAAGUUUACAUGUCUCAUGAAAAUGUUGUGUUGGUGUCUACCUUAUUGCCAGUCUACAUACAAGGAACUGUGAUUGUCCCUGCCAUCAACAUCGGGGCCAUAAAUAUGCUUUUACUUUGUCAUCAGGGUUCUAGUCUUUGAGUAUUUUCUUGGCUGCAAUUUGAAAGAUAGUUGUUGGGAGUUCCCAUUGUGACUCAGUAGUCACGAAUCCAACUAGUAUCCAUGAGGACUCGGUUUUAAUCUCUGGCCUCGCUCAGUGGGUUAAGGAUCUGUCGUUGCCGUGGUGUAGGUUGCAGACUUGGCUUGGAUCUGUCAUUGCUGUGGCUGUGGCAUAGGCUGGCAGCUGCAGCUCCGAUUGGACCCCUAGCCUGGGAACCCCGUAUGUGGCAGGUGUGGUCCUGAGAGACAAGAGAAGAAAAGAAAGAAGAGAAGAAGAAAGAAAGAAAAGGAAGGAAGGAAGGAAAGAAAAAGAAAGAAAGAGAGAGAGAAAGAAAGAAAGUUGUCAAUGCUGGUGGCUUUUCAGUAUCUAGAGGAGUGAAUGAGUAUAAGUCUGUGUGUGUGAGGUGUAUGUGUGCAUGUGUGUAUCUGUGUGUGUGCGUGUUGAAGGGAUGGAGAAUCAGUGGUAGGUACUAGAAACUGUCUGGCUGCUGGGCCACACCCAGGCCAGUAUCUGUCUCUGGUGUUAUCUAUUUCUGUUGCAACUGUGUCUUUUUAGUUAAAAGUAAUGGUUCUGAUCUUAUUCAAGAUUUAGGUGACUGGGAUUGUGACUCUUCUGGCAAUUCACAGGAUGUUAAGUUCACAACAGGAGUGUUUUUUAAACAUGCUUUGUUCACUACUGUUUCUCCAGUGCCUGGAUCUGUAUCUGUCGGUACAUUAUAGGCAUUCAGUAAAUAACUUUUGAAAGAGUGAAUGAAUUGGUCUAAGAAGAGUGAGUCAGAUACUAAUACCCUUUGUAUUCAGCACACAAAUUGAUGUAGGUCAUUGUCUUCUAAAAUUUAAUUUCAGUGUGACAUUUUCAUAGGUAUAUCCUAAGUGUUAAUGAAAACUUUCCAUAUUAAACUUACUUGUUCAAAAAUUUCAGUGUCUGGAGUUCCCGCUGUGGUUAGAGGGGGCAGGAACCCCACAUAAGAGUUCCUGUCAUGGCUCAGCAGUUAAUGAACCUGACUAGUAUCCAUGAGGAUGCAGGUUCAAUCCCUGGCCUCGCUCAGUGAGUUAAGGAUCCAGCACUGCCAUGAGCUGUGGUGUAGGUCACAGAUGAGGCUCGAUCCUGUGUUGCUGGGGCUGUGAUGUAGGCUGGCAGCUACAGCUCUUAUUCAAUCCCUAUUCUGGGAACCUCCAUAUACCACAGGUACAGCCCCAAAAGGCCAAAAAAAAAAAAAAAAAAAAAAAA
Molecule: long non-coding RNA, 6424 nt
Filed under: Sus scrofa (pig)
Lineage: Eukaryota; Metazoa; Chordata; Mammalia; Artiodactyla; Suidae
Description: lncRNA (ENSSSCG00050050477.1)
Source: RNAcentral